GUUUAAAAAUUAUUACAAUAAAAGAUACAUUGCUAUUAAUCCCCUUCAAAAUACUGCUCCUUAAAGUGGCAAGAAUAAUGAGAUAAGUGUGUUUGAAGUGAGGGGGGCGGUAUUUUGAGGAGGAUUAAUGGCAGUGUGUCUUAACCGUAGUAAAAUUUUAAACAUUUGUCAUAGUUUUUUAUUACACCAAGUAGACUACUUCAUGGUUUAUCUGAGAAGCCCAAAAUAUGAAUAAAGAGCAAAAGAAAAGAUGAAUAAUAGGAAGUAGGGAGGUAGAUCUCAAAUGGGAAGGGAAUUAGAUGAUGGGAGAAGAGGGGAAAGGGAUGAAAAAAGGAAUUAAAAUGAGUUAUGUACUUGUACCAAUCCCCGCAAGGAAUAUAAACAUUAGCUACUGCUGACAAGCACUACUGAAAAAACCCACAAAACUAAAGAAAAAGGAGAAUGGGUAAUCACCAUAAAAAUUCCUUCAUGCAAGCACAAGGACCGGAGUUCAAUCCCUGGUACCAAAAAAAAAAAAAAAAAAUUCCUUCAUGCAGUGCCUUUGUAGUCAAGCCCUCCCUCUAACCUUACCCCUGGGAUCAGUGAUCUAUGUAUUGUCUCUAGUUUUACCUUUCCAGAAUUUCAUAUAAACUGAGUCAAAUAGCAUUUAGCCUUUUUAUUCUGGCUUCUUUAGCAUAAUGCAUUUGAGAUUCAUCCAUGUUGUGUCAGUAGUUUGCUCCUUUUAUUUGUUGAGUAGCAUUUCAUUGUAUGGGAUGUGUGAACCACAGUCUAUUCACUCCCCAACUGAAGGACAUUUGGGUAAUUUUCAGCUUUUGGUAACUAUGAAUAAAAUUCUUGUAAACAUCUGCAUACAGGAUUUUGUGUAAACAGGUUUGCUGCUUCUUUUGGGUAAAUAUAUAGGAGUGGGGUUGGAUCUUGUAAAAAUUGAACUUUCUAAACACAGGAAUGUCUAAGUGUUUUUCGAAGAAGCUGUAUUAUUUUCCACUUAGACAAAGUUUGAGAAUUUCAGUUAUCCUUAUCAUCACUUGGUAUUAACUUUAUUAAAAUUUAGCCACUGUAGUGGUUAAUGGUUUAAUUUGCACUUAUCAGAUAUGCAAAAUUUUCUCUCCAUCCUACAACAUGUUAAAAAAAAUCUUAAAAAUUGUUCUUAGCUGCACUCACUUUUGUUGGUGAGAUGAUUUAACUGCAGCAUCUGGGGCUUCCUGGGGACUCCUUGUGUGAGACCAAAGCAACUCCAUUUUGCUAAAAUGCACCACUCCCCUGGUCUCUCACAAAUUAAUGGUUAAAAUGUGCAUGCUCUGGGACAAAAGACACAGUCUGUACUGAAGCAAAGUUCCUAAGUUAAUUACUCAACCAUCUGUUUGCCUAGGAAAAGAAUGUUCUGGGCCCCCUAUCCAUAGAACAAUCUGUAGAUGUGCUGACUGUCAGUACGAAAUGGUUGUGACUAAUAGUCAGUGUGUCUGCUGACCAUCAGUACGUGACAGUCGACCACCAACCUUUGCCCCUCAUUUCCCUUGUAAAACCUACAUGUAACCGCCCCUCAACCCCCUAUGAACCUAGCCAAUCAGAAAUGUACACUUCAUGCUUGCUAAAUGCUAACCAAUCAUGUAACCGCUAAGUGAAAAAUCUCCAAACCUUGCUGUAAUCUCUAUAAAAACCCCUGGUGUUUUAGAGUUGGGGCUCUCAAUCCUGAUCCGCUGCGCCGGUGACGGUUGUGAGUCCCUGCUCAAGCUUGAAUAAACAACCCUCGUGCGUUUACAUCGGAA
RNAcentral lists this long non-coding RNA (1766 nucleotides) under Heterocephalus glaber (naked mole-rat). RNAcentral describes it as "lncRNA (ENSHGLG00000045189.1)". The record is from RNAcentral. Lineage: Eukaryota; Metazoa; Chordata; Mammalia; Rodentia; Bathyergidae.